Crotalus tigris (Tiger rattlesnake) is the source of this 416-nucleotide long non-coding RNA. RefSeq lists it as uncharacterized. The transcript is spliced from 2 exons. The record is from RefSeq and is a predicted model, not a curated record. Lineage: Eukaryota; Metazoa; Chordata; Lepidosauria; Squamata; Viperidae.
UUGGGUUUGGGGCGGAGGGAUAUUCUGCACAGCGCGUAGGAAGAGCUGCUGCGUUGAUAUUAUUAGUGGGGAGGGGAGUGCCGGACCCCGGCUGGCGCUGUUGGCGCGGUGGCUGCUUCUGAGGGCGAGGACUCGUGGCAGCUGCAAAGCAACUGAACGAGGAUAUUUUACUUUUACUGAGAAUUGGACACAGCAACAUACCUUAGAAUUUCAAGAUGGACUUGACAAAGCAAAUGAUAAGAAAUCUCUCAUUGAACUGAAGUUGUAUGUGUAUGCAUGAUGAUCUGUGAAUGUAAUAUAUAAAUAAAUAAUUAUGGGAUAAUAUUGUAAAGAUGAUUGUUGAUGCAUAAUUAUUAAUCAAAUUCCAUUCUGGCUUGGUGCACAUUUUUCACAGAAUAAAAUCUUUGAACUUUGUA